This 498-nucleotide ribosomal RNA is filed under the name uncultured bacterium. Its description in RNAcentral is "partial 16S ribosomal RNA". It matches the Rfam family "Bacterial small subunit ribosomal RNA", at positions 28 to 507 of the family's 1533-position model. The record is from RNAcentral.
GACGAACGCUGGCGGCGUGCCUAAUACAUGCAAGUCGAACGAGAGCGCCCGGUGCUUGCACUGGUCAAUCUAGUGGCGAACGGGUGAGUAACACGUGGGUAACCUGCUCAUCAGAGGGGGAUAACAUCCGGAAACGGAUGCUAAAACCGCAUAGGUCUUCGAGCCGCAUGGCUUGAAGAGGAAAAGAGGCGCAAGCUUCUGCUGAUGGAUGGACCCGCGGUGCAUUAGCUAGUUGGUGAGGUAACGGCUCACCAAGGCCGUGAUGCAUAGCCGACCUGAGAGGGUGAUCGGCCACAUGGGGACUGAGACACGGCCCAAACUCCUACGGGAGGCAGCAGUAGGGAAUCUUCCGCAAUGGACGCAAGUCUGACGGAGCAACGCCGCGUGAGUGAAGAAGGUUUUCGGAUCGUAAAACUCUGUUGUUAGAGAAGAACAAGUGCUAGAGUAACUGUUAGCGCCUUGACGGUAUCUAACCAGAAAGCCACGGCUAACUACGUG